Molecule: ribosomal RNA, 351 nt
Filed under: Triticum aestivum (bread wheat)
Lineage: Eukaryota; Viridiplantae; Streptophyta; Magnoliopsida; Poales; Poaceae
Description: partial small subunit ribosomal RNA
Source: RNAcentral
AUGGCGGAGGAACCGUCCGCCAAGCGUCAUCAUGCCGAGACGUCGGACAAGAGGAGCAACCUCAUCGACAUUAACGUCCCCGGCGAGAAGCGCGAGUACACAACAACCCUCAAAGGGGUUGAGCUCCACGGCAACGAGACGUUAGAGAUCGUCUGCACUAGCGUACCAGAAAAGGCCGACGAGGUGAUCUCCAGGCUCUGGAUGAAGCUUGGUGGCAGGGUUCGUAGGAUUGUCGGUGUUGGUGUGCACUACACCAACGAAGAUGAACCUCCCCAGAAGGCAGCAGUCCUACAGUUGUGCGUCGACGAACUCUGCUUGGUGUACCACAUCGCAGCGGCCACAAAAUGGUGA